This 241-nucleotide ribosomal RNA is filed under the name uncultured bacterium. RNAcentral describes it as "partial 16S ribosomal RNA". It matches the Rfam family "Bacterial small subunit ribosomal RNA", at positions 118 to 353 of the family's 1533-position model. The record is from RNAcentral.
UGAGUAAUCUGCCCUUCUCAUCGGAAUAAGCGUUGGAAACGACGUCUAAUGCCAAAUACGACCUCCUUUCGCAUGAUCGGAGGUGGAAAGCUCCGGCGGAGAAGGAUGAGCUCGCGGCCUAUCAGCUAGUUGGUGUGGGUAAUGGCCCACCAAGGCGACGACGGGUAGCCGGCCUGAGGAGGGUGACCCGGCCACACGUGGGACUGAGACACGGCCCAGACCUCCGUACGGGGAGGNAGCG